Molecule: ribosomal RNA, 274 nt
Filed under: uncultured bacterium
Lineage: Bacteria
Description: partial 16S ribosomal RNA
Rfam family: Bacterial small subunit ribosomal RNA
Source: RNAcentral
AUACGGAGGGUGCAAGCGUUAAUCGGAAUUACUGGGCGUAAAGCGCGCGUAGGCGGCUUUGUAAGUCGGAUGUGAAAGCCCUGGGCUCAACCUGGGAAUUGCACUCGAUACUGCAGAGCUAGAGUAUGGUAGAGGGAAGUGGAAUUUCCGGUGUAGCGGUGAAAUGCGUAGAUAUCGGAAGGAACACCAGUGGCGAAGGCGACUUCCUGGGCCAAUACUGACGCUGAGGUGCGAAAGCGUGGGGAGCAAACGGGAUUAGAUACCCGAGUAGUCC